Molecule: ribosomal RNA, 160 nt
Filed under: uncultured Pseudophormidium sp.
Lineage: Bacteria; Bacillati; Cyanobacteriota; Cyanophyceae; Leptolyngbyales; Leptolyngbyaceae
Description: partial 16S ribosomal RNA
Rfam family: Bacterial small subunit ribosomal RNA
Source: RNAcentral
CCUACGGGAGGCAGCAGUGGGGAAUUUUCCGCAAUGGGCGCAAGCCUGACGGAGCAACGCCGCGUGAGGGAGGAAGGCCUGUGGGUCGUAAACCUCUUUUCUCAAGGAAGAAUUUUGACGGUACUUGAGGAAUCAGCAUCGGCUAACUCCGUGCCAGCAG